Molecule: transfer RNA, 69 nt
Filed under: Marmota monax (woodchuck)
Lineage: Eukaryota; Metazoa; Chordata; Mammalia; Rodentia; Sciuridae
Description: tRNA.Ala
Source: RNAcentral
GGAAUAUAGCUCAGUUGGUAGAGUACUUACCUUGCCUGCAUAAGGCCCUGGGUUCAAUCCCCAAUACCA